RNAcentral lists this ribosomal RNA (252 nucleotides) under uncultured bacterium. Its description in RNAcentral is "partial 16S ribosomal RNA". It matches the Rfam family "Bacterial small subunit ribosomal RNA", at positions 524 to 776 of the family's 1533-position model. The record is from RNAcentral.
UACGUAGGCAGCAAGCGUUGUUCGGAGUUACUGGGCGUAAAGGGUGCGUAGGCGGGCUUUUAAGUCAGUGGUGAAAUCUCCGAGCUCAACUCGGAAAUUGCCAUUGAUACUAUUAGUCUUGAAUUAAGUUGAGGUGGGCGGAAUGUGUCAUGUAGCGGUGAAUGCUUAGAUAUGACACAGAACACCGAUUGCGAAGGCAGCUCGCUAAACUUAUAUUGACGCUGAGGCACGAAAGCGUGGGGAUCAAACAGG